This 327-nucleotide ribosomal RNA is filed under the name uncultured eukaryote. RNAcentral's name for it is "partial 18S ribosomal RNA". It matches the Rfam family "Eukaryotic small subunit ribosomal RNA", at positions 1470 to 1796 of the family's 1831-position model. The record is from RNAcentral.
CCCUUAGAUGUUCUGGGCCGCACACGCGCUACACUGAAGGAGGCAGCGUGUACUCCUGGAUCGAAAGAUUUGGGUAACCCGCGAAUCUCCUUCGUGCUAGGGAUUGAGGUUUGCAAUUAUCCUUCAUGAACGAGGAAUUCCCAGUAAGUGCAAGUCAUAAGCUUGCGCUGACUACGUCCCUGCCCUUUGUACACACCGCCCGUCGCUACUACCGAUUGAAUGAUUUGGUGAGGACUUCGGACUGGGACCGAUGCGGCUUUCGGGCUGCGUCGGUAUUCUGGAAAGAUGUCCAAACUGUAUCAUUUAGAGGAAGUAAAAGUCGUANCA